UGGGGAAUAUUGGACAAUGGGCGAAAGCCUGAUCCAGCCAUGCCGCGUGUGUGAAGAAGGUCUUCGGAUUGUAAAGCACUUUAAGUUGGGAGGAAGGGCAGUAAGCGAAUACCUUGCUGUUUUGACGUUACCGACAGAAUAAGCACCGGCUAACUCUGUGCCAGCAGCCGCGGUAAUACAGAGGGUGCAAGCGUUAAUCGGAAUUACUGGGCGUAAAGCGCGCGUAGGUGGUUCGUUAAGUUGAAUGUGAAAGCCCCGGGCUCAACCUAGGAACUGCAUCCAAAACUGGCGAGCUAGAGUAGGGGAGAGGGUGGUGGAAUGUACUGUGGAGCGGUGAAAUGCGUAGAUAUAGGAAGGAACACAAGUGGCGAAGGCGACCACCUGGGCUCAUACUGACACUGAGGUGCGAAAGCGUGGGGAGCAAACAGG
This 429-nucleotide ribosomal RNA is filed under the name Pseudomonadota bacterium. RNAcentral's name for it is "Proteobacteria bacterium partial 16S ribosomal RNA". It matches the Rfam family "Bacterial small subunit ribosomal RNA", at positions 355 to 776 of the family's 1533-position model. Lineage: Bacteria; Pseudomonadati; Pseudomonadota. The record is from RNAcentral.